This 442-nucleotide ribosomal RNA is filed under the name uncultured bacterium. RNAcentral describes it as "partial 16S ribosomal RNA". It matches the Rfam family "Bacterial small subunit ribosomal RNA", at positions 338 to 795 of the family's 1533-position model. The record is from RNAcentral.
CCUACGGGGGGCAGCAGUGGGGAAUAUUGGGCAAUGGACGCAAGUCUGACCCAGCAACGCCGCGUGAAGGAAGAAGGCUUUCGGGUUGUAAACUUCUUUUAAGGGGGAAGAGCAGAAGACGGUACCCCUUGAAUAAGCCACGGCUAACUACGUGCCAGCAGCCGCGGUAAUACGUAGGUGGCAAGCGUUGUCCGGAUUUACUGGGUGUAAAGGGCGUGCAGCCGGAGAGACAAGUCAGAUGUGAAAUCCACGGGCUCAACCCGUGAACUGCAUUUGAAACUGUUUCCCUUGAGUGUCGGAGAGGUAAUCGGAAUUCCUUGUGUAGCGGUGAAAUGCGUAGAUAUAAGGAAGAACACCGAUUGCGAAGGCAGCUUACUAAACUGCCACUGACAUUGAUGCUCGAAAGUGUGGGUAUCAAACAGGAUUAGAUACCCUGGUAGUC